Molecule: transfer RNA, 55 nt
Filed under: Acanthemblemaria macrospilus (barnacle blenny)
Lineage: Eukaryota; Metazoa; Chordata; Actinopteri; Blenniiformes; Chaenopsidae
Description: partial tRNA-Pro
Source: RNAcentral
AAAUUUUGAAUUUUUCUCGCGCCGAGAUCGGCCCCCUUUCGGAAUUUUUCUCGCG